AAUCACUUUCCAAGACCCCACCUUCUGGUACUACCACUUUGAGAAUUAGGAUUUCAACACACGGUAUGAAUUUUAGGGUGACACAAACAUUCAGACCAUAGCACUUCCUCUUCAGUUUUUUGGAAAAGUAUGAAAAGGAUAAACAAUCCUAAAAGUCAUAUGGAACCAUGAAGAAUCUGAAUUGUCAAGCCAAUCUUAAGCAAAAAGAAGACAUAACAACCAAUGGAACAGAAGAGAGAGGCCAAAAAUAAACUCAUGAAUCUCUGGUCAGCUGAUUUUCAACAAAGGUGCCAAGAAUGCAUAAUAGGAAAAGGACUGUCUCUUCAAUAAAGUGUCAUGGGAAAAAUUGGAUAUCUAUGUGCAGAAGAAUGAAAUGUGAC
This 380-nucleotide long non-coding RNA is filed under the name Heterocephalus glaber (naked mole-rat). RNAcentral's name for it is "lncRNA (ENSHGLG00100048660.1)". The record is from RNAcentral. Lineage: Eukaryota; Metazoa; Chordata; Mammalia; Rodentia; Bathyergidae.